CCUACGGAGGGCAGCAGUGAGGAAUAUUGGUCAAUGGGCGCGAGCCUGAACCAGCCAAGUAGCGUGAAGGAUGACUGCCCUACGGGUUGUAAACUUCUUUUAUAAAGGAAUAACGUGAGGCCCGUGUUCCUUUUUGUAUGUACUUUAUGAAUAAGGAUCGGCUAACUCCGUGCCAGCCGCCGCGGUAAUACGGAGGAUCCGCGCGUUUUCCGGAUUUAUUGGGUUUAAGGGGAGCGUAGAUGGGUUGUUAAGUCAGUUGUGAAAGUUUGAGGCUCAACCGUAAAAUUGCAAUUUAUACUGGCAGUCUGGAGUAAAGUUGAGGUAGGCGGAAUUCGUGGUGUAGCGGUGAAAUGCUUAGAUAUCACGAAGAACUCCGAUUGCGAAGGCAGCUUACUAAACUGCCACUGACAUUGAUGCUCGAAAGUGUGGGUAUCAAACAGGAGUAGAUACCCGUGUAGUC
RNAcentral lists this ribosomal RNA (460 nucleotides) under uncultured bacterium. RNAcentral describes it as "partial 16S ribosomal RNA". It matches the Rfam family "Bacterial small subunit ribosomal RNA", at positions 338 to 795 of the family's 1533-position model. The record is from RNAcentral.